RNAcentral lists this ribosomal RNA (433 nucleotides) under uncultured bacterium. RNAcentral's name for it is "partial 16S ribosomal RNA". It matches the Rfam family "Bacterial small subunit ribosomal RNA", at positions 29 to 507 of the family's 1533-position model. The record is from RNAcentral.
AACGAACGCUGGCGGCAUGCCUAACACAUGCAAGUCGAACGAGACCUUCUGGUCUAGUGGCGCACGGGUGCGUAACGCGUGGGAACCUGCCCUUAGGUUCUGAAUAACUCCCCGAAAGGGGUGCUAAUACCGGAUAAUGUCUUCGGACCAAAGAUUUAUCGCCUUUGGAUGGGCCCGCGUUGGAUUAGCUAGUUGGUAGGGUAAAAGCCUACCAAGGCGACGAUCCAUAGCUGGUCUGAGAGGAUGAUCAGCCACACUGGGACUGAGACACGGCCCAGACUCCUACGGGAGGCAGCAGUGGGGAAUAUUGGACAAUGGGCGAAAGCCUGAUCCAGCAAUGCCGCGUGAGUGAUGAAGGCCUUAGGGUUGUAAAGCUCUUUUACCCGGGAUGAUAAUGACAGUACCGGGAGAAUAAGCUCCGGCUAACUCCGUG